UGCUAUCACAGAGAUUCUGCCUAAAAUGAAAAAAAAAAAAAUUAUAGAAGAGGCCAAAUUUUUAAAAAUCUGUCAGGAUGCAGUAUCAAUUAUUCGUGAAAGUAUAAUACUGGGACUCAAAUUUCUAACUUAAAUAAGUGAAUUUAGACAAAUGGUGAUCUUUCCAAGUCUAAGUUAUCUCAUUGUUAAAAAGAGAUUGGAAUAGAUUAAUUUUUUUUAAGCUCACAACUUCCGGCAUCAUGGUUAUACGGGUACUCUCAUCUUUGAGAAGAAAUUUAGAGAUCAUCUAAUCUUGUUCAAGUAUGUAAUUUUACAGCUGACAAAACAGAGGCUCAAAAUUCUUCCAGUGUCUUACCCAAAGCUGAGGCUAGAAUCCACAUAUCUUGAUUUCUCUUUCUAAUUAUCUUACUAAACUAUAAAACCUUCUGAAUUACUCCUUACGUUCUUCCAUGCACACUUUGUAAGCAAAAUGCAUUAUAAUUUAUGUAAGCCCCUUUGCAUUAAAUUUGUACCUUUAAAGGACCAUUAAAUUACUUCACAGCCCUAAGUUCCCACAUAGUAGAUGCCACUUAUAACACCUAUUCCAGGUUUGGGUUUCCAGUAUGUUUGGAUCGUAGUCUCAUUGAGUCACAAGAUGAGAUCAUGAAUGCGACAGUCUGUGGAAAGCUAUAAAGUGUUUAUGACAACACUCUUGGUUGGCCACCCAAUAUUAAUUCACAAUCCCCUCUCCCUUCUCACCAGAUACUCUUCUAGCCUCCCUUAAAGCAAAUAAUGGUCACUUGAUCCUGCUCUAGCCAAUGAGUUCGCUAAGGAGGCCUCUGGGGAAGAUUGUAUUCUCUGAUAAAAUAAGGAGACUUGAGAGAAUAGUUCUCUCACCAUCAUGACUGUCUUCGGGCACAUUCUUGAAGGAUGAGGUGUUUGGAGCUCUAGCAGCCUUCCUGUAACCAGGUGGGGGUCACGGAGACAUAAUCCCAGUGAUCUAACAUUGUAGAGUUUCUCACCUCCAUUUGAAUUCUUUAAAAAUUAUAGAUUUUUAAUAUGGUUUAAAUCACUAUGAGUUGAAUUUUCUCCUUUUAGUAGCUAAAAGCAUUCCUAAUUGAUAAAGCAUGGUAUAGAUAAGACAUUUUCAAUGAGAGGAAAUAUACAUCAGUGAACAUUGUAUCUCAGUGCUUGGCAAUGUAGACAGAUACUCCAUAAUCAAACAGUAAUUGUGGGAUUUAAUGAACAAAUCAAUAUCAUUGUGAUUACUAUCCUUGUUCUAAUGCAGCCUACAGAGAGUGGGUAUUUAGUUUUUAAACAAAUGGUAUGCUAUGUGAAAUUAGGGAAGGAGCAUAAUAAUGAAAUACAGAGAACAUAAUGAAAUCAAUCACUUCUGACCACCGGAGAGAGAUUAGAAAGGGAUUUAGUCUGUCCACAAUUGUUGCAAACACUACAAUUUGGCUGAUACCAUUUCCAACUCACUUCUUUUACAUUGUUAUCUCCUACAGAAGCAGUGAAAGCUAAAAUCUCCAUGUCCUAGCCUCCCUUGAAAUUUGAGGGGCGAUGUGUGGUGUUAUGAUAUGUAUUAAUUUUUGUCUACAGUUCCUAGCUCCCAACACCCAUAGCCCUUGUUACAGUAUUUUGUUACAGUGUUGGGCAUAUUAGGCCUCAGGAGCAGACCUCAAGAAACAGAACCUCUCUCACCUGCUUCUGCUCUCCUUUCACCUGCCCCAAGGCAGGGCUCUAAUCUUUCCCCCUCCUUUCUGACUGUGGGUCUUAGGACCCUCACCUGAGAGGGACCUACCCCAUAUCCUGGGAAAAGGAGUGAUGACAUCCUGAAGCUUUCAUUAAAAACCCAAGAGGGCAGGCUUAGCGCGGUGGCUCACACCUGUAAUCCCAGCACUUUGAGAGGCCGAGGCGGGCGGAUCACCAGAGGUCGGGAGUUUGAGAUCAAGCAUUUCAUUCCAGCCUGGGCAACAAGAGCGAAACUCUCUCUCAAAAAAAAAAAAAAAAAAAAAAAAAAA
Macaca fascicularis (crab-eating macaque) is the source of this 2003-nucleotide long non-coding RNA. Lineage: Eukaryota; Metazoa; Chordata; Mammalia; Primates; Cercopithecidae. The record is from Ensembl.